RNAcentral lists this ribosomal RNA (460 nucleotides) under uncultured bacterium. RNAcentral's name for it is "partial 16S ribosomal RNA". It matches the Rfam family "Bacterial small subunit ribosomal RNA", at positions 338 to 795 of the family's 1533-position model. The record is from RNAcentral.
CCUACGGGCGGCAGCAGUGACGAAUAUUGGUCAAUGGGCGCGAGCCUGAACCAGCCAAGUCGCGUGAGGGAGGACGGCCCUACGGGCUGUAAACCUCUGUUGCCGGGGAGCAACGGGCGUCACGUGUGGAGCCACUGAGAGUACCCGGAGAAAAAGCAUCGGCUAACUACGUACCAGCAGCCGCGGUAAUACGGAGGAUGCGAGCGAUAUCCUGAUUUAAUGGGUUUAAAGGGUGCGUAGGAGGAUCGUUAAGUCAGGGGUCAAAUUGAGGGGCUCAACCCCUUCCCGCCAUUGAAACUGGCGUUCUUGAGUGGAAGAGAAGUAUGCGGAAUGCGUGGUGUAGCGGUGAAAUGCAUAGAUAUCACGCAGAACCCCGAUUGCGAAGGCAGCAUGCCGGCUUCUGACUGACGCUGAAGCACGAAAGCGUGGGGAUCGAACAGGAUUAGAUACCCCUGUAGUC